RNAcentral lists this ribosomal RNA (449 nucleotides) under uncultured bacterium. RNAcentral describes it as "partial 16S ribosomal RNA". It matches the Rfam family "Bacterial small subunit ribosomal RNA", at positions 29 to 523 of the family's 1533-position model. The record is from RNAcentral.
AACGAACGCUGGCGGCAGGCCUAACACAUGCAAGUCGAACGCUGUAGCAAUACAGAGUGGCAGACGGGUGAGUAACGCGUGGGAACAUGCCCUUCGGUUCGGAAUAACUCAGGGAAACUUGAGCUAAUACCGGAUACGCCCUUAGGGGGAAAGAUUUAUUGCCGAAGGAUUGGCCCGCGUCCGAUUAGCUAGUUGGUGAGGUAAAGGCUCACCAAGGCGACGAUCGGUAGCUGGUCUGAGAGGAUGAUCAGCCACACUGGGACUGAGACACGGCCCAGACUCCUACGGGAGGCAGCAGUGGGGAAUAUUGGACAAUGGGCGCAAGCCUGAUCCAGCCAUGCCGCGUGAGUGAUGAAGGCCCUAGGGUUGUAAAGCUCUUUCGCCAGGGACGAUAAUGACGGUACCUGGAUAAGAAGCCCCGGCUAACUUCGUGCCAGCCGCCGCAGUAA